GCCAUCGCUCAACGGAUAAAAGGUACUCCGGGGAUAACAGGCUUAUAGUGCCCAAGAGUUCAUAUCGACGGCACUGUUUGGCACCUCGAUGUCGGCUCUUCGCAUCCUGGGGCUGGAGAAGGUCCCAAGGGUUCGGCUGUUCGCCGAUUAAAGCGGAACGCGAGCUGGGUUCAGAACGUCGUGAGACAGUUCGGUCCCUAUCCUCUGCAGGCGUUGGAAAUUUGAGGAGAUCUGUCCCUAGUACGAGAGGACCGGGAUGGACGAACCUCUGGUGUGCCAGCUGUCGCGCCAGCGGCACCGCUGGGUAGCUAUGUUCGGAAUGGAUAACCGCUGAAAGCAUCUAAGCGGGAAGCCAACUCCAAGAUUAGAUUUCCCUUGGCCUUCGGGCCACUGAAGACUCCUUGAAGAUUACAAGGUUGAUAGGCUGGAGGUGUAAGCGCAGUGAUGUGUUCAGCCGACCAGUACUAAUCAGUCGUGAGGCUUGACCAUAUU
Molecule: ribosomal RNA, 492 nt
Filed under: Syntrophobacterales bacterium
Lineage: Bacteria; Pseudomonadati; Thermodesulfobacteriota; Syntrophobacteria; Syntrophobacterales
Description: partial 23S ribosomal RNA
Rfam family: Bacterial large subunit ribosomal RNA
Source: RNAcentral